Molecule: ribosomal RNA, 111 nt
Filed under: uncultured eukaryote
Lineage: Eukaryota
Description: partial small subunit ribosomal RNA
Rfam family: Eukaryotic small subunit ribosomal RNA
Source: RNAcentral
GUCGCACCUACCGAUUGAAUGGUCCGGUGAAGCCUCGGGAUUGCGACCAGUUCACUUCAUUGGGAGUUGGUUGUGAGAACUUGUCUAAACCUUAUCAUUUAGAGGAAGGUG